AGAAUCAACGCUGGCGGCGUGCCUAACACAUGCAAGUCGAACGAGAAAGUGGAGCAAUCCAUGAGUAAAGUGGCGCACGGGUGAGUAACACGUGGGCAACCUGCCCCAAGCUCUGGGAUAACCCCGGGAAACCGGGCUAAUACCGGAUACGACCUUAGAAAACAUCUUCUUUGGUGGAAAGUUUUUCGGCUUGGGAUGGGCCCGCGGCCUAUCAGCUUGUUGGUGGGGUAACGGCCUACCAAGGCGACGACGGGU
RNAcentral lists this ribosomal RNA (255 nucleotides) under uncultured bacterium. RNAcentral describes it as "partial small subunit ribosomal RNA". It matches the Rfam family "Bacterial small subunit ribosomal RNA", at positions 26 to 284 of the family's 1533-position model. The record is from RNAcentral.